RNAcentral lists this ribosomal RNA (444 nucleotides) under uncultured Pseudomonas sp. RNAcentral describes it as "bacterial SSU rRNA". It matches the Rfam family "Bacterial small subunit ribosomal RNA", at positions 938 to 1382 of the family's 1533-position model. The record is from RNAcentral. Lineage: Bacteria; Pseudomonadati; Pseudomonadota; Gammaproteobacteria; Pseudomonadales; Pseudomonadaceae.
CAUGUGGUUUAAUUCGAAGCAACGCGAAGAACCUUACCAGGCCUUGACAUGCAGAGAACUUUCCAGAGAUGGAUUGUGCCUUCGGGAACUCUGACACAGGUGCUGCAUGGCUGUCGUCAGCUCGUGUCGUGAGAUGUUGGGUUAAGUCCCGUAACGAGCGCAACCCUUGUCCUUAGUUACCAGCACGUUAUGGUGGGCACUCUAAGGAGACUGCCGGUGACAAACCGGAGGAAGGUGGGGAUGAUGUCAAGUCAUCAUGGCCCUUACGGCCUGGGCUACACACGUGCUACAAUGGUCGGUACAAAGGGUUGCCAAGCCGCGAGGUGGAGCUAAUCCCAUAAAACCGAUCGUAGUCCGGAUCGCAGUCUGCAACUCGACUGCGUGAAGUCGGAAUCGCUAGUAAUCGUGAAUCAGAAUGUCACGGUGAAUACGUUCCCGGGCCUU